GAGCCCAAAAUCCAAAAUCCAUUACGCACAAGGAACAAAAUUGCUAGACUGAAAAGUGAUAUGGGCCUUAUCCAAAAAUGAGUCUGGGAGUCAGCUGGGCUUGGGUCUGGCUGCUUUCUGAAAGAGUUGUGGGUCACAAUCCGGGUCGGAUUGGCAAGUUAACCCGGUUAUCUCUCUCUCUCUUUCUUUUCUAUACAUUAAAAGAACUAAAGCGCUUUUCUUUUUUUCGUUUAAUUUCAUUCCUUCUUAAAAAAAAAAAAAAAAAACAACAUUCUCUCUUCUAACAACAGCCUGUAGCCUCCCUUAACCCAGUUCCCAGCGGUCGGCAGCCGCCUGUAGUAGUCUUUUACAGCCCAAAAUUUCUCCGAAUGCUCUCCUCAGUUUCCUCGUCACGAAUCCAAGCUCAGAUUCCUCGAAAUUAAUCCCCAACGUCCUAGAUCUAAACCGAAAAUUCAAAAUUUCAAGUGGCCGAAAUCUCUCCUUCACUGUCCGAUUACUCUGCAUUUUUAAUAUCUUGUUUCCCUCCUCUCGUCCUUCCUUUCCACGGGCUCCGAUCAUCCAAAAGACCCCUGCUAUCGCUCACUGCCACCGCGAACCCCUACUGCCGAUUUGUAAGCCACCAUUUACUUCCCGUCACCCUAGAACGAGCCUACUUUCCUUCCUUCUUAAAUGACCCAAACCGAAUCUGCGUAGAAACACCCAUAAGAGCUAAAGUCCCCUAUGCCCGAAAUGCCUCUGUUCUAAGGGCUUUUUUUUUUUUUUUCAUUGAUAUUUCUCCUAACCAGGGGAUGUGAUUGUUUUUAUGUGUUUUUUGUUUAUUGUGGUUUUUUCGGAUGAGGGUGGCAGGGAUGAUGGGUGGUGGCUGUUUGGUAGCUUGUGGAUGCCGUGGAUGGCAUGUGUUGUUGAUGUGAGAAUCAAUGGUUGGUAGGCUUAGGCAGUAAUGGUAUCGGCAUCGGGUCUUGGUGGGGGAAUUUGGCAUUGGGAUUGGUUGAUGGUUUUGGCUGUGAAGAGUUCUUUUUUUUUUUUUUUUGCUGUGUGUUUUGCCUCUUAGUCGAGAGUCCCCUAUUCCCAUGGUGAGAAGUAUGGAUAAAA
Molecule: long non-coding RNA, 1092 nt
Filed under: Durio zibethinus
Lineage: Eukaryota; Viridiplantae; Streptophyta; Magnoliopsida; Malvales; Malvaceae
Description: long non-coding RNA (DZIB_LNC000735)
Source: RNAcentral